RNAcentral lists this transfer RNA (73 nucleotides) under Erinaceus europaeus (western European hedgehog). Its description in RNAcentral is "tRNA-Lys (CTT) (tRNA-Lys-CTT-28-1)". It matches the Rfam family "tRNA". From Rfam's summary of the family: Transfer RNA (tRNA) molecules are approximately 80 nucleotides in length. The record is from Rfam by way of RNAcentral. Lineage: Eukaryota; Metazoa; Chordata; Mammalia; Eulipotyphla; Erinaceidae. RNAcentral also lists the same sequence under 1 other name.
GCCUGGCUAGCUCAGUUGGUAGAGCAUGAGACUCUUAAUCUCAGGGUCGUGGGUUCAUGCCCCACAUUGGGCA